GACUUGGGUAGGUAAUGUUCCUUCUCUUGUGUAUGUGAUUUUAAUUUUUUGCUCUUUACUUUAUUUAUUUUCUCCCUACUGUUUUAGUUUAGGCUAGAUAUUUGACAUUAGCUUUGAUUUAUUAUGUGUUUAUCUGUACAUGUCUAUUUUAUUUGCUAUUUUGGGUUAGUUAUAAUGUUUUGAGCUUGACUUGAUCUCUUUUCUCUAGCAAAGGUCACUUAGAGUAGUGUAGCAUUGUUGAAUUAAUUACUGCGGGAC
RNAcentral lists this long non-coding RNA (258 nucleotides) under Solanum tuberosum (potato). RNAcentral describes it as "long non-coding RNA (STUB_LNC009596)". Lineage: Eukaryota; Viridiplantae; Streptophyta; Magnoliopsida; Solanales; Solanaceae. The record is from RNAcentral.